GAAUAUUGGACAAUGGGCGAAAGCCUGAUCCAGCAAUGCCGCGUGAGUGAUGAAGGCCUUCGGGUUGUAAAGCUCUUUUACCCGGGAUGAUAAUGACAUUACCGGGAGAAUAAGCUCCGGCUAACUCCGUGCCAGCAGCCGCGGUAAUACGGAGGGAGCUAGCGUUGUUCGGAAUUACUGGGCGUAAAGCGCACGUAGGCGGCGAUUCAAGUCAGAGGUGAAAGCCCGGGGCUCAACACCGGAACUGCCUUUGAAACUAGAUCGCUAGAAUCCUGGAGAGGCGGGUGGAAUUCCGAGUGUAGAGGUGAAAUUCGUAGAUAUUCGGAAGAACACCAGUGGCGAAGGCGGCCCGCUGGACUGGUAUUGACGCUGAGGUGCGAAAGCGUGGGGAGCAAACAGG
RNAcentral lists this ribosomal RNA (400 nucleotides) under uncultured bacterium. RNAcentral describes it as "bacterial SSU rRNA". It matches the Rfam family "Bacterial small subunit ribosomal RNA", at positions 359 to 776 of the family's 1533-position model. The record is from RNAcentral.